GACGAACGCUGGCGGCGUGCUUAACACAUGCAAGUCGUACGGUAAGGCCCUUUCGGGGGUACACGAGUGGCGAACGGGUGAGUAACACGUGCGUAACCUGCCCACAACUUUGGGAUAACGCUAGGAAACUGGUGCUAAUACUGGAUAUGUGCUCCUUCUGCAUGGUGGGGGUUGGAAAGCUCCGGCGGUUGUGGAUGGACUCGCUGGCUAUCUGCUUGUUGGUGGGGUAGUGGCCUACCAAGGCGGCGUCGGGUAGCCGGCCUGGGGGGGUGACCGGCCACAUUGGGACUGAGAUACGGCCCAGACUCCUACGGGAGGGAACAGUGGGGAAUAUUGCACAAUGGGCGCAAGCCUGAUGCAGCAACGCCGCGGGCGGGAUGACGGCCUUCGGGUUGUAAACCGCUUUCAGCAGGGACGAAGCUUUUUGUGACGGUACCUGCAGAAGAAGCACCGGCUAACUACGUG
RNAcentral lists this ribosomal RNA (465 nucleotides) under uncultured bacterium. RNAcentral describes it as "partial 16S ribosomal RNA". It matches the Rfam family "Bacterial small subunit ribosomal RNA", at positions 28 to 507 of the family's 1533-position model. The record is from RNAcentral.